UACGUAGGGUGCGAGCGUUAAUCGGAUUUACUGGGCGUAAAGCGUGCGCAGGCGGCCCGUUAAGACAGGUGUGAAAUCCCUGGGCUCAACCUAGGAAUUGCGCUUGUGACUGGCGGGCUCGAGUACGGUAGAGGGGGGUGGAAUUCCUGGUGUAGCAGUGAAAUGCGUGGAGAUCAGGAGGAACACCGAUGGCGAAGGCAGCCCCCUGGGCCUGUACUGACGCUCAUGCACGAAAGCGUGGGGAGCAAACAGG
RNAcentral lists this ribosomal RNA (253 nucleotides) under uncultured microorganism. RNAcentral describes it as "partial 16S ribosomal RNA". It matches the Rfam family "Bacterial small subunit ribosomal RNA", at positions 524 to 776 of the family's 1533-position model. The record is from RNAcentral.